Molecule: long non-coding RNA, 780 nt
Organism: Pantherophis guttatus
Lineage: Eukaryota; Metazoa; Chordata; Lepidosauria; Squamata; Colubridae
Source: RefSeq, a predicted model, not a curated record
CACAUUGAUAUGUCAGAGUGAUGAUACGGCAGAGAUUUGGUGUGGAGUGGAUAGCGUGGCUAAGGAAUUCUUUCCACAAUUAAAAACUUAUUUGCUAAGGGCAUUAUAUAGCAUUCAGUCAGAGAAGUCUGCAUUCUUAUUACAAGAAACACUGAGAGAUCACUCACUGAUGAUGAAGGAUCAAAGAAAGAUGAUUACCCAGGAUGGAUGAGUUGCCUCAAAACACAGCUUUUCAUCCUUAAUAGCACAUAUUAUGGAUUCAGUAAAGCCUGAGAAAUUUCAGCCUUCGCAAAAUCACAAAAAGCCCUCUGAAGGUCACAAUAAGAAACUGAGCAAAUGUUCAGCUUGGUGGGACACAAUGUUGUACAAAUACAUGCUAAACAUAAAUGAGAAGAAGUUGAAAUUAAAAUAAAAACCUUCAAUAACUGGAAGAAAGAAGUAAUGCUACCAGAUUUACCAACAGGAAAGAAGCUGAUCUUGUACCCCAUUGCACAUUCCUGAUUUGCAAUUGACAGCCUGAUAGACUUUAUCUUCACACAAAUUUGAGCAGUUGUUCAAAAUGAAGUACACCAGUUGAUCCAUGUGGACAUCAGGGACUCAGAGGCAAUGGGGUAAAGAAUUAAAACCAAAGAAUGGGAUGUCUUUGCAAAAGAAUUUGUUGAUAUGCUGCAUGGACAGGUGGUCAGUUAUUCCAGCAUGUGAUGGAGCAUGAAGGAAGCCUACCUGAAAACUUUUAAGUGCAAUCGCCUUUGUAAAAGGCUAAAUAAAACUGUUACGUGA